Molecule: ribosomal RNA, 491 nt
Filed under: uncultured bacterium
Lineage: Bacteria
Description: partial 16S ribosomal RNA
Rfam family: Bacterial small subunit ribosomal RNA
Source: RNAcentral
AGUGAACGCUGGCGGUAGACCUAACACAUGCAAGUCGAACGGCAGCACAGUAAGAGCUUGCUCUUACGGGUGGCGAGUGGCGGACGGGUGAGGAAUACAUCGGAAUCUACUUUUUCGUGGGGGAUAACGUAGGGAAACUUACGCUAAUACCGCAUACGACCUACGGGUGAAAGCAGGGGAUCUUCGGACCUUGCGCGAUUGAAUGAGCCGAUGUCGGAUUAGCUAGUUGGCGGGGUAAAGGCCCACCAAGGCGACGAUCCGUAACUGGUCUGAGAGGAUGAUCAGCCACACUGGAACUGAGACACGGUCCAGACUCCUACGGGAGGCAGCAGUGGGGAAUAUUGGACAAUGGGCGCAAGCCUGAUCCAGCCAUACCGCGUGGGUGAAGAAGGCCUUCGGGUUGUAAAGCCCUUUUGUUGGGAAAGAAAAGCAGCAGGUUAAUACCCCGCUGUUCUGACGGUACCCAAAGAAUAAGCACCGGCUAACUUCGU